Molecule: long non-coding RNA, 4186 nt
Filed under: Sus scrofa (pig)
Lineage: Eukaryota; Metazoa; Chordata; Mammalia; Artiodactyla; Suidae
Description: lncRNA (ENSSSCG00000059042.1)
Source: RNAcentral
UACUUCUUGAGGCCAUUCAUGCUUCACACCCAUGGUAAUGAACAGAGAAUCAUUGCCUGUUUCCUGAGCAGAAGCUGAGGGAUGAUUUAUAGGACAGUUUAAUUUUGAGAUCUUGCUUCUCUACUGCUUUACCAGACCAGAAGGGCAACAUCUGUCUAUCUAACAAGGAAAGGUUUCCACCACACCAAGAGGGUAGCACCUACCAGAUCAGGAGAGUCUGACCUGUCUACUCAACCAGAAGGGUGGUACUUGUCUAUCAGAACCAGAGGUUUUUGUCUACCCAGCAACCAGGAGGAUUCCUCUGCCUACCAGACCAGAAGAACAGCAUUUUCCAGAGCCUACAGCAAAAAACAUAAAUGAAUGUAUUUGGUUUGUCUACUUGCUUUAAAAAUCAUAUUAUGGGAAAUGCUGAUGAUUCAAUAUCCAUAGAGCCAUUUAUAUAUUUUGGUAUGAAAGUAUAGAUAUGAGAAAACAACCCCCUGAAUGGAAACUAAUUAUACUUGUAUAUGCAGUAAGAGGUCAGAGUAAGAGGUUAUGAGUACUUAUUGCUCUCUAGAAUUUAGUUUCAGGUGGUGAAUAUAUUCUAUGCACAGCAUUUUAAGGAAAGCCAUGGGAUAAAUACAUUUGUCCAUAGACUGGCUCCACUAAAAUGUCUAAUGUGGUUUUUUUUUUUCUUGAAAACAUAAUAUGAGGAGGUGAAGCACUUUGCAAUGUCAGAAAUUUAAAAUAGUUACGUUAAAUUUCAGCUUUAUUCCAAAAAUGUGAUUAUGUAGUAGACAUACCAAAAAACUCGUCACAGUAAGGUCCGUCAGUAAAAUAUGAGGGUUAAUACAACACAAAUACAGACUUUCUCACUCAUCUAGUUCUAACUAGAAAAUAAAAACUAUUUCUAUGGGAGAAAAGUCAUUUUUAAAGAUAAAUACCAUAUACUCUAUAAGAAUUGGCAAAAACACAGAACUAGCGAUUUAUGUAUUCAUUUAUAUGCCCCAUGUUAUCACUUAGAGAUUUGAGCUGAGCUGUGUCCAGAGUACAUAUUUUUAGUUAAAUGUAAAUCAAAGUAGAAAAUUAAGAUCAAGGAGAAGACAAAUAUAGAAACCAAAAGGAAAUGCUAGAGCAUCAGUUCAGUUUACACAAACAAGUCAUUUUUCCACUCAAUUACUAUACUCCCCCUUAUGUAUAUAUAUUAUUAGGGACUGUCCUACAUAGUGCAGGAUGUUUAUUAUCUCUAGUUUCUGCCCUAAAUGUCAGUAGUGUUUCCUGGCUAUAAUGACAACUGCAAAACCCUUCCACAAAUUUUCUAAAACUCUCUAGGUACCGACCCUGCUAAGCACUACUAAAAUAAUCGAUGUGGUGACUACAUGAUAGGUGCUAGGAAAAGUAGAAGGGAAAUAUAAUCCGUACCCUCAGGAGACCCACAGUUCAGUUGAGAAGACAUGAAUGAAAUGGUAACAGAAUGCUAAACAUUGUGAUGGAGCUCUUUUCCUGGCACUGUGGUAGUACCGAGGCCCAGGAGUUAAGUCAGCCUUGGGAAGGGUCAGGGUAAGUUUCCUGGAGGAGUUAAUUAUUGAGCUGAGCUUUGAAGUUAAGCCAGGUAAACAAGAGGGAGGACAGAUGCUCAAGCCAAGGAAAUAACUCCUGCAAAGCCACAGCCUGGGCGUAAAGGUAGUAAGGAAGGCUGAGGCCGGAUGGUGGUGUAUCCUUUAUGCUCUGCUCAAGGGUCCAUUUCAACCUGAAGGCGAUUUGACAGUACCAGCCAGAAAUGAUGUUGUAUGUUUGCCACACCACUAUCUCAGGCUCCCCUGCAGUUAGCAUGUGGAAGGGAUAUAAGCCACUUCCAGGCCUGGCCCCUGAGAGCCUCCCCUGCCUAGGGUUGGAGGUCACAUGAUCCCGAUCGCAAAGCUCCGAGAUAAGAGAGGACCCUCUGACUCCCAUCAGGUAGCGAGGAGUAAAUUUUGAUUGUCUUAAGCCAGCAAGGUUUGGGGAGGAUCCGUCAGAAUUUUUUCAGGAAACCAAUCACCCCAGAUGGUUCACAUGAAGAGACUUUAAUGGAGGAAAUACUUUCCGAGGUGUGGACAGGGGACGGGAAGAAACAUGGGAGGCAGGAAGUUGUUUCUUUCCCAGAAUUGAAGGGGCAGAGAGGAAAAGUGUUAUCAGAGCCCUGGGAGCUGGUGCCAAGGAGGAAGAGCUGCCCGGCAGGAGCUCUGGUCAUGAAAAGACACAACCACUGCUAGUAGAAGGGGGAGAGCAGGGAAGAAAUCUCCUGACCUAGCUCUUCUCCUGUGCUUCAGCCUCCUGAGAAGGUGUCCCCAUUGGCCAAACUCAAGCAGAAUGCAGCCUCAAGGAAGCUCAGGUGAUAUGGUACACAGCCUCCAGGGGCACAAAAUAGUUCAGUCAAAGAAGGAGAAUGGCUGGGGGAGGGGUGCAGGGGGGGUCAAGAGAACAAGCAGUUCAUUUGUCUGUUGUGGCCAUUAGCUUUAAUUACUCUAACAUAAAUCACUGAUGGAUUUUUCAGCAGAUUAUUUUUUUCAUUUUUAUGGCUGCACUCGUGGCAUAUGGAAGUUCCUGGGCCAGGGACUGAAUCCAAGCCACAGCUGCAACCUUCACUGGAGUUGCCGUAUCCUUUAACCCACACCAGGCUAGGGAUGGAACCCACACCUCCAUAGCGACCUAAGCUGCUGAAGCUGGAUUCUUAUCCUACUGCGCCAAGGUGGGAACUCCUCAGCAGACUUUUAGAAUAAGUUUUAUUGAAAUAUAAUUUAUGUACCAUAAAAUUGAUCCUUGGUUUUUAGUAUAUUCAAAGUUGUGUAUUCAGCCAUAAUAUCUGAUUCUAGAAUAAUUUCACCCAUUCCCCAUCCCCCACAAAAAAAAUCCAACACCCAUAAGCAGUGCCUCCCCAUCCCCACUUUCCCAGCCACUGGCAACCACCAAUCUACUUUCUGUUUCAAUCAAUUUGCCUAUUCUGGAUGUUACAUAUAAAUGGAACCACAAAAUAUGGUGGCUUUUCAUGUCUGGCUUCUUUCAUUUAAUGUACUAUUUUCAAGGUUCAUCCAUGUGGUAGUGAGUAUUCUUUUUAUUGCUAGCUAAUAUUUCAUUGCAUAUACUAUCAAAGAUAACAGCUAUACAGAGAAUGGGUUGGAGCGAGCCAAAAAUCAACGGCAAGGGGAUAUAUGUAAGUUGGGGAGCGAUCACAUUCACUGACAACAUCCUCUCGAAGUAUUUUCAGACCAAGAAAUAAGUUAGAGAAAAUAAAACAGCACUCUUCAUUUCCUAGCUUCUACUUCAAUGAAUGGCACCAUUGUCUGCACAGCAUCUGAGAGUCAGGUUAGAAACCCCCAUUUCCCUCACCCUUCACAUUAGAGCACUUUUUCCUGUGCAUCUUACCUCUUGAAAUGGGUCCUCUUCUGUACAUGCUGACUGCCUUGGUUGAGAAGCCCCAAUGAGUCAUGUUGAACUACCAUAACUGCCUAACUAGCAUCCUUUGUGCAUGGUGCCCGCUAGCUCCAUCACCAAGAGGAGCAACCAUGACAAAAGAUGGACGAACAGGAAGGGCAGUGCCUUAUCUCACAUCUGAGGUAGGAAGCAGAAACUUAUAGCUGUUGAUAGCCUCGUUCCUUCCUCCUUUCAUCCAAUUAGUGCCUUCAGGGAGCCCACAGACUCUUCCUUUUAGCAUAAUGAGUUCUGCCCUGCCAGUUUUAAGGUGAGUGUUUGGCUAAAAUUCUAACAUCUGGGGUUCAGAGAACAGAGCUUCUUUGGCUUGACAUUAUGCUCUGUCUUCUCACAUAGCCACAAUUAUAAUGAUGAUGAAUUUUUGGAGUUCCCACUAUGGCGCAGUGGUUUAGGAUUCGGUGUUGUCUCUGAGGCGGGUCAGAUUGCUGCAGAGACACAGGUGCCAUCCCCGGCCUGGAACGGUGGGUUAAGGAUCCAGCAUUACCUCAGCUGUGGCAUAGGUCGCAGCUGUGGCUCAGAUUCAAUCCCUGACCCAGAAACUUCCAUAUGCACAGGUGCAGCCAAAAAAAAAAAAAAAAAAAAAAAGAUCAAUUUUUGCUUCUAUUGAUUACAAAACUUUUCAGAUUUUUUCCUCAGAACUUAAGGACUUCAGCAAAUACCAAAUUUACUGUUUUUCAGUAGCCAAAUGCAAAGGAAUUGUGAUUAUGUAAUUUUCAUUAAUAAAAGGAAGAGUAAAACC